Molecule: transfer RNA, 64 nt
Organism: Cavia porcellus (domestic guinea pig)
Lineage: Eukaryota; Metazoa; Chordata; Mammalia; Rodentia; Caviidae
Rfam family: tRNA
About the family: Transfer RNA (tRNA) molecules are approximately 80 nucleotides in length. Their secondary structure includes four short double-helical elements and three loops (D, anti-codon, and T loops).
Source: Rfam
GGGGAUUUAGCUCAGUGGCAUAAGUACCUGACUUGCGAGCAGGUGGUCGUGAGUUCAAUCCCCA